Non-coding RNA from Pelobates cultripes (western spadefoot toad), 376 nucleotides. The record is from the annotation of a GenBank genome assembly. Lineage: Eukaryota; Metazoa; Chordata; Amphibia; Anura; Pelobatidae.
CCUCAGGGCACUAUAGUGCCAGGAAAACGAGUAUGUUUUCCUGGCACUAUAGUGGUCCUUUAAACAGCAACCCUUCCUUUCUCUGUGCCUGAGCUUUCAGUUGAUUUCAGCUCCUUCGUUAAUGUUGCCACGAUUACUCACCUGAUUGUAGUAACCAACCCUGCUGCUAAUCAGUGCAGCCUAUUUAAGCAGCAAGUCCAGUACCUCCUUGUGUGAUUUCCUGUUUCCCAGAAUACUCCCUGUUUCCUGUGUGUUCCUGAUUCCUGACUUCUGGCCUUGUUCCUGACUCUGCUGCUCUCCGUUCUCCUGACCCUGGCUCAUCUGACUACCCGCAAUGGUGCCUGAUCCUUGCUUGCCUCCUGGACUUUGGUUUUGG